RNAcentral lists this ribosomal RNA (497 nucleotides) under uncultured bacterium. RNAcentral's name for it is "partial 16S ribosomal RNA". It matches the Rfam family "Bacterial small subunit ribosomal RNA", at positions 28 to 507 of the family's 1533-position model. The record is from RNAcentral.
GAUGAACGCUGGCGGCGUGCCUAAUACAUGCAAGUCGAGCGAACGGACGAGAAGCUUGCUUUUCUGAUGUUAGCGGCGGACGGGUGAGUAACACGUGGAUAACCUACCUAUAAGACUGGGAUAACUUCGGGAAACCGGAGCUAAUACCGGAUAAUAUUUUGAACCGCAUGGUUCAAAAGUGAAAGACGGUCUUGCUGUCACUUAUAGAUGGAUCCGCGCUGCAUUAGCUAGUUGGUAAGGUAACGGCUUACCAAGGCAACGAUGCAUAGCCGACCUGAGAGGGGGAUCGGCCACACUGGAACUGAGACACGGCCCAGACUCCUACGGGAGGCAGCAGUAGGGACUCUUCCGCAAUGGGCGAAAGCCUGACGGAGCAACGCCGCGUGAGUGAUGAAGGUCUUCGGAUCGUAAAACUCUGUUAUUAGGGAAGAACAUAUGUGUAAGUAACUGUGCACAUCUUGACGGUACCUAAUCAGAAAGCCACGGCUAACUACGUG